Molecule: long non-coding RNA, 2315 nt
Filed under: Sitophilus oryzae (rice weevil)
Lineage: Eukaryota; Metazoa; Arthropoda; Insecta; Coleoptera; Curculionidae
Description: uncharacterized LOC115880708, transcript variant X1
Source: RNAcentral
AUAAAAGUGUGAUUAGAUUUGGCGCAUUUUUUUCAGAAAAAAGUCAGAAAUAUCCGGAAGAAUUCAAAGAUAUUUUGAAAAAACCGAAGGAAUUUUAUCAGAAACGAUUGAUCAGCACUUGGAAAAGGUUUUAGAACGUCAGGGACCCUCUAGAAUGCGAACCAUCUCCGGAUUUUCUCUACUUCAUCCUGUUCAUUUUCAGAGCAUUUACAGGGGUCCUUGCGUUUGCGAGCUGCUCAAAUACCUGGCAAUGAUGUGUUUCAAGCUGAUCGACAUGGAUAUCAUUGAUUUAUCCCAUUUAAAUCAAUUUCAGUUCAGGCACACAGAUAUCCGUGUGUCUAAAGUACAGGUAGCGGCACAAUAUAUCCAUGUCAGGAUAGCGGAAUGCCAAGAAACAUGACCUCGCUGUUGUCCGAUAGAAGAUGUUAACGAAUUGUGUGAUUUCGUGUAAUUCUAGCAGAGAAAACCCUUUCCGUGUUGCUCUUGAUGGCAAUGAUGCACUUGGAUUCUUUGAAGAAGCAUUAGAAAAAGCCAAUCAGUUGAAUAUACAGUUAAAUUUAGAUGUCAUGUGAUAGUCCAGGGUGUGAUAAAAAAAUAUUAUUCCAGUAGUGGCGUCUACAAAUGCUAUUCUAUGAAAAAUUAGUUGAUGCACAAGACGUUUUAUGGGUAAUGUGACAAUUAUUGGCACUUCAGAAUCAGCGUUUAGAGAAAUGGAUCAGCUGAAGAUAGGAAUAAAUGCCAGAGGAUGUUGUGUACUGCCCUCGUGGCUUUGUUUAUUCUAGGAAAAUUGUAUGUAGCAAAUGCAUGUGCGAUACGUGUGAAAAGAAUAUAUUUGAAGAGAAUAUCUGGCGCUACCGAAAUCUGGAGAUUUAGGAAAGACUGAGAUGUUUACGGAUGAGCGUAUGCAGUAAGAUUAUCUGAAUAUAUCUGCGAUUACUGGGCAAGGAAAGAAGAUGGUGUAACAAGAAGAUUUGGUGAUGAUAGUUUACUUGUUGAGUUGGUACAAACACUGGCAAAACCUCGAAGUGGAAUGAAGACAGAUAGGGGAAUUCAAGACAACUUUUUAGAGCAGCAUUAAUUAGAAAUAAAAAACCUUUAAGUAGAAAAAAGUUUGAGACUGUGUUGGAUGUACUCUUGAUUUUUUAUGGGUAAAUUUUAAUGGAAUAAAUUGGGAACCUGUCCCAUAUAUUGGCAUUUUAGAAUCAGCUUUUAGAGAAAUGGCACACAUCAGGAUCAGUCGAAGAUAGGAAUAAAUGCCAGAGGAUGUGUACUGCACUCGUGGCUUUGUUUAUUCUAGGAAAACUACAUAGAAAAUGCCCAAGUAACAAGUUAAAUCCUUUUUCCGUUCUAUCUUCCCAGAUAUUUUCGCCAGAUCUUUGAAUAAAGAGAAUUUAGAUGGAUUCUGACAAUCUCAGCACUUUGUUCUUCACUUAAUGAAAAACAAAAGGCUGAGGACCGCGGUUUGGAUCCCGUGUAAACACUCGGUCGGAUGAUCCCUAGCAGCGUAAGCCGGAUAGCCCUCGUAACUUAAGGCCAUCUAAAUGAAAACUACGAGGAUUAUCCGGUCUGUCAUUUACGCGGAAUCUAAACCUCGUUCCUCAGCCAUUUAUUUUCAAAAAUAAAAAUGUGAUUGUGAUUAAUUAGAUUUGGCGCUUUUUUUUUCAGAAAAAGUCAGGAAUAUCCAGAAAAAUUCAAAGAUUUUGUGAAAAAGCCGAAGGAAUUUUAUCAGAAACGAUUGAUCAGCACUUGGAAAAGGUUUUAGAACGUCUGGGACCCUCUAGAAUGCGAACCAUCUCCGGAUUUUCUCUACUUCAUCCUGUCCAUUUUCAGAGCAUUUACAGGGGUCCUUGCGUUUGCGAGCUGCUCAAAUACCUGGCAAUGAUGUGUUUCAAGCUGAUCGACAUGGAUAUCAUCGAUUUAUCCCAUUUAAAUCAAUUUCAGUUCAGGCACACAGAUAUCCGUGUGUCUAAAGUACAGGUAGCGGCACAAUAUAUCCAUGUCAGGAUAGCGGAAUGCCAAGAAACACGACCUCGCUGUUGUCCGAUAGAAGAUGUUAAUGAAUUGUGUGAUUUCGUGUAAUUCUAGCAGAGAAAACCCUUUCCGUGUUGCUCUUGAUGGCAAUGAUGCACUUGGAUUCUUUGAAGAAGCAUUAGAAAAAGCCAAUCAGUUCAAUAUACACGGUGUUAAGUUUAGAUGUCAUGUGAUAGUCCAGGGUGUGAUAAAAAAAUAUUAUUCCAGUAGUGGCGUCUACAAAUGCUAUUCUAUGAAAAAUUAGUUGAUGCACAAGACGUUUUAUGGGUAAUGUGACAAUUAUU